GGCGCUGUGGCUUAGUUGGCUAAAGCGCCUGUCUCGUAAACAGGAGAUCCUGGGUCCAAAUCCCAGCAGUGCCU
Molecule: transfer RNA, 74 nt
Filed under: Oryzias latipes (Japanese medaka)
Lineage: Eukaryota; Metazoa; Chordata; Actinopteri; Beloniformes; Adrianichthyidae
Description: tRNA-Thr (CGT) (tRNA-Thr-CGT-3-1)
Rfam family: tRNA
About the family: Transfer RNA (tRNA) molecules are approximately 80 nucleotides in length. Their secondary structure includes four short double-helical elements and three loops (D, anti-codon, and T loops).
Source: Rfam by way of RNAcentral